GACGAACGCUGGCGGCGUGCUUAACACAUGCAAGUCGAACGGAAAGGCCCUGCUUUUGUGGUGGGCUCGAGUGGCGAACGGGUGAGUAACACGUGAGUAACCUGCGCUUGUCUUUGGGAUAACUUCAGGAAACUGGGGCUAUUACCGGAUAGGAGCUCCUGCUGCGUGGUGGUGGUUGAAAAGAUUGGGCGGUUGGAGAUGGUCUCGGGUCUUAUCGCUUUGUUUGUGGGGUAUUGGCUGACGACGGCUCUGACGGGUAGUCGGCCUGAGCGGGUGACCGGCGCCAUUGGGCCUGCGAUACGGCCCAGAAUGCUACGGGAGGCAACAGUGGCAAAUAUUGCGCAAUGGGCGGAAGCCAGUUGCAGAAACGCCGGGUGCGGGAAGCCCGCCUUUGGGUUGUAAACCGCUUUCGGAUGUGACGUAGCGUGAGUGACGGUAAUGGGUAAAGAAGCACCGGCUAACUACGUG
Molecule: ribosomal RNA, 468 nt
Filed under: uncultured bacterium
Lineage: Bacteria
Description: partial 16S ribosomal RNA
Rfam family: Bacterial small subunit ribosomal RNA
Source: RNAcentral